ACUAAGCAUGGACGUGAAAGAAGUAGAGGUAGACUUGGGUACACAAGAACACGUCCAAAAAAAAACUAAAAAAAGAAGCUGAAAAGGGGAAAGAAACUACAGAAAGAAAAUGGAGAAACAAAGGAAGGAGUGGUGAAAGCAGAGACCGACUAGAAACCGCUGGAGACGCAUUUUCCACCAAGAUUCACCCUGUCAGAGAUCAAAAAUAAACAACGAAGGCAUUUUAUGUUUUUGGAAUUUAAACAGGAGAAACGAAAGGCACCCCCAAAAGAAGUUCCAAAGACAAUUGAAAACCAGAGGGUUUAUAAUGAGACUACUGUAGACCCCAAAGAUGAAGAGUUGCAUCUAAGGAGCCAGAGAUCCAGGGGCCUAUGAAAACAGUGUGUAAUGUGAAAAAAGGAAGGUCUUCAACAUCAAGCACCGUGGUCGAAGGAAUUGCACAAAAAGGAUCGGAGAUUUCCAAGAAGAGGAGCGUGGAUUUUGAAGAAGACAACAUAGGCAGCCUUUCAAAGAAAAGGAAAGAGGAAUUUGAAAGAAAUUAACUUGCAGUAGCAAGGUACAGUUCGAGUUAAAAAGAAGUGGAGUCUAGAAACGAGGCCUUUAAAAAAAAAAAAAAAAACGUUCAAGGUUGUGUAUGAUAAAAGGGUGCUUGCAGAAAACUUUACAUCUUUACCCUAUGGGUAUUAGACAUUGAGUCAUGGAUAUUAGACUGAAAACAUCCUUUUCCGUGUAUAUUGGCAGGGCCUUCUAAUUGCUGAAAAAGCUAUUUUAUAAAACAGUUGUUGGAAAGAGGUGAAUAUAUGUUAUCUUGCAAGCCUGAUAAUAUUGUGUGGUGUUAUAGUUGCUAGCAACCUCUACAAAGACUUGUUGUUAAAAUUCCCUUUUUAUUAAAUUUAUAGAAGGUUUGCCAGCAACAUUUAACAAUGACGAUUUACUACCUCCCCAUAAAGUGAACCUGAUUGUUGUGGAUGAUUUGAUGGAAGCAGCAAGUGACAACAAAAUUGAAAAGGCUUUCACAAAGUAUGGCCCACAUCUAUUUGUUGAUUUAAAUGCUAAUACUCCUGAUGGCUAUCGGUUGAGGAGCGGUCUUUUCCCCCCUGACUUGCCUGUAGCUUACGUCUUUAAAAAACAAAAUUCUAAAAGGGCUUGAUACACCCGAUAGGGUUGAAACUUUUAAAAGAAGUAAAUUGUUUAAAAGGCUUGAAUGGCUGUCUGUUUAACGAUGUGCAUGUUUUUUUUUUUUCUAUUUUCUGUUUCUUUUGUGUAAAUGUAAUACGUGCUUGUGAAUGUAACAGUUUUACAUAUUGUAUAUGUUUGCAGUGCAUUUGCACGGGUAUAACCUAUGUCUGUUUUAAAUUGUAAUAAACUAUUUAUAAUUA
Molecule: long non-coding RNA, 1379 nt
Organism: Polyodon spathula (Mississippi paddlefish)
Lineage: Eukaryota; Metazoa; Chordata; Actinopteri; Acipenseriformes; Polyodontidae
Exons: 4
Source: RefSeq, a predicted model, not a curated record